Alosa sapidissima (American shad) is the source of this 679-nucleotide long non-coding RNA. RefSeq lists it as uncharacterized. The transcript is spliced from 3 exons. Lineage: Eukaryota; Metazoa; Chordata; Actinopteri; Clupeiformes; Clupeidae. The record is from RefSeq and is a predicted model, not a curated record.
CUACAACAUGGCUGGAACAUGACUCCCCAGCUUUCCGUGCUCUCACAGAGUUGGUUGAGGAAAAAACCCUCCUGCGUGACCUGAGACAGAUGGCUCUGUUCAAGCACACUGGAUCUCUUGAAGUCUUUCAUAACGUACGCACCUGAGGUACGCACCAAAGCGACUUCUCUUUAUAUACGACUCGAUGAGAGCCCGCGCAGAGUUGGCCAUCAUAGAUCACAAUAUCAAUAUUGGAAGGGAACAAAAAACAACGCUUGAGGGAAAACCGCAGUACAAGUACAUGUACACAAAGACGACACAGCAGUGGGUGGCUAAGCCAGUGUAUGAGCCCACCUCUCAGGACUUUCGAAAAGACCUGAUGGAGGACGUCUUGAAGUUGAGGGAGGAGAAAAGCCUGGAACCUUGGCCCCGUCCUCCUCCUCGCCCAAGAAGGUUGCUGCAAAACAUAGCACCAGUGCCGAGGCCAGACCUGUCUGAGUUGGUGGCCCAAAGACUGUCACGGUUCAAGCAACUCUGACUUGUAGUGACAUUUCUUUUGUUCUUUUAGAGUACAGUUUUCUUUGUAUUUUUUAUUUAUAAUGUACAUAGUUUGUUUUUCCUUUUGUGUUUAUUUCAUGUUCUAUGUGUGGUCUACGUCUUUGUUGUUUGUCUAUAAAUAAAUAUUGUAGUUUGGAAUGAA